Molecule: ribosomal RNA, 407 nt
Filed under: uncultured bacterium
Lineage: Bacteria
Description: partial 16S ribosomal RNA
Rfam family: Bacterial small subunit ribosomal RNA
Source: RNAcentral
GACGAACGCUGGCGGCGCGCUUAACACAUGCAAGUCGAGCGAAGCGGCGGACUGGUGAGUACCACGUGAGUAACCUGCCUUAGACCUUGGGAUAGCCUCGGGAAACCGAGAUUAAUACCAAAUGGUCGAAGAUUGACUCGUGUCCCAUUAGCUAGUUGCUGAGGUAACGGCCCACCAAGGCUACGCUGGGUAGCCGGCCGGAGAGGGGGAACGGACACAUUGGAACUGAGCAACGGUCCAAACUCUACGGGAGGCAGCAGUGGGGAAUAGUGCACAAUGGAGGGAACUCUGAUGCAGCGACGCCGCGUGAACGAAGAAGGCUUUCGAGUCGUAAAGUUCUUUUAUAUGGGAAGCGGUACCAUAAGAAAAAGCCCCGGCUAACUACGUGCCAGCAGCCGCGGUAAUAC